This 467-nucleotide ribosomal RNA is filed under the name uncultured bacterium. RNAcentral describes it as "partial 16S ribosomal RNA". It matches the Rfam family "Bacterial small subunit ribosomal RNA", at positions 28 to 507 of the family's 1533-position model. The record is from RNAcentral.
GACGAACGCUGGCGGCGUGCUUAACACAUGCAAGUCGAACGAUGACGACCGAGCUUGCUCGGUCUGAUUAGUGGCGAACGGGUGAGUAACACGUGAGCAACCUGCCCUUCACUCUGGGAUAACCUCGGGAAAUCGGGGCUAAUACCGGAUAUGAGCUCCUGUCGCAUGGCGGGUGUUGGAAAGUUUUUCGGUGAAGGAUGGGCUCGCGGCCUAUCAGUUUGUUUGUGCGGUAGUGGCUCACCAAGGCGAUGACGGGUAGCCGGCCUGAGAGGGCGACCGGCCACACUGGGACUGAGACACGGCCCAGACUCCUACGGGAGGCAGCAGUGGGGAAUAUUGCACAAUGGGCGAAAGCCUGAUGCAGCGACGCCGCGUGAGGGAUGACGGCCUUCGGGUUGUAAACCUCUUUCAGCAGGGAAGAAGCGAAAGUGACGGUACCUGCAGAAGAAGCGCCGGCUAACUACGUG